AAUGGUGAAUGGAGUCUGGAAGGAAUUAGGUGAUCAGAUGAAUAUGGAGGGAGGUGUUUGCAUCAGCAAUUGCGUCAGUGUAGAUGGUCUUUAAAUCUUUGACUAAUUGGCUUCUGUUUUAAACUGUCUCCAACCUCCUCAACCUGCUGGUUGAAGUGCCCACUGGUUCAGGCAGUUAGAAGCUAGGAGAGACCUCUUCUAACUUCCUCACUGUGCCCCUGGCUCAAAUGGUGGCUUCCAGCUUCUUCCUGCCUGGACACAUCAUGUGUACCUGGUCAACAGGUUUAGAACCAGGCUCUCCAUUUAAAUCAAGCUGCUGGACACAAUUCUUUAACCUAACCAAACGCAAUAGUAGCUCUGCAGAUGUGGGAAGGCCAGCUUGCUUGUUUUCAGAGUUCAAUGAUCUUUGAAGUGGAGAUGAAGAUGGGCUGCUCUGUCGCUCAAGGUGCCAUUUUGUCAAUGUCAAGUUAGGGAUCAGCUGCUGAAGGUCCUGGAUAACCACCCCAAAGACUUGGAUACAUUUGUCUGUCAAUCAGAGGACAUGUCAGGAUUUAACACCAGCACAGUGACAGUCAGAAGUUUCAAACCAGGGGGUCACACCAGGAUUGACGAACCAGUGCUGGGUCGGCCUUUUCACAGGUGUGCAAUCUAGUGGCUCGCUGGUAGUCCUGACACUUCUGGGCCUCCCCUCUUUGCCAGUCCUGCCGCUGCCAGUGGCAACCAUCCCGACGGCGACUCCCAUGACUGAACACACCCCAUGACGGUGGCAAUGACCUCUGUGCUGAAGGGCCUGUUAGCCCCGACCUCUGCAAACACAGUGUCUUGUGUGCAAAGGUCCCUUCCCUGCCGGAGGCGACGGUCCCCUCUGCUGCUGGGCCUCCCCUCCUUGUCAAACCUUCAGCUGCCAGGCCUUGGACAUGCUCUCCAGGCAACAAAUGACUGUGAAAAUGCCCAAACAUUGUAUGGCAUCUUCCAGCUCUGCAACCGUGGCCUGCACAGAUGGCACAACUCAGUCCAGCAACAUUUGUAGACUACACUGCAGCAAACUGCUUCAUGAGGACUUAAGUGAUGACCUCCACUGCGUACAAGAGGUGAUUAAAUCUGGGAAAAUGCUAACCACAUUACACGUCUCCAGACCUAAAAAUACUUCACUGGAUGCUCAUCUUGCUUAUUUAAGUUCUAGAACAAGACAACUGAGCUAGAACUGCAAAGCAACUGUAAAAUACAUUUGCAAAGUUGAC
Molecule: long non-coding RNA, 1241 nt
Organism: Betta splendens (Siamese fighting fish)
Lineage: Eukaryota; Metazoa; Chordata; Actinopteri; Anabantiformes; Osphronemidae
Exons: 4
Source: RefSeq, a predicted model, not a curated record